GGAAGACCCAGGACUAGGUGGAGAGAUUACAUCUCCACACUGGCCUGGGAACGCCUCGGGGUCGCCCAGUCAGAGCUGGUUAAUGUGGCUCGGGAUAGGGAAGUUUGGGGCCCCCUGCUGGAGCAGCUGCCCCCGCGACCCGACUUCGGAUAAGCGGUUGAAGAUGGAUGGAUGGAUGGAUUAAACAUUUUAUAUACAUAGGCACUUUUUUCCCUUUAAAAUAAUGUAUAUUUGAUGUGGUUCUCUAAUCUCUUAAUGCAGAUUUAACAUUUUGGACCUUUUUCACAGACCGUGGUGAUGCCUUUCCCCCAAAAAUAUGUUUUUUGAUUAAUGUACAUUUAUGCCAACAUACUUUACUUUAUAAUACUUGGCCAUUCAAUUAAAGAAAAAGUUAUCACUAUUGUGGGAAGGAGUGAUGUUGAAUUUAAUAUUUUUCAUAUAUUUUUCACUGCUGUACUGUGAUUAUGGUUAUAUCAGGUUACAUGAGUCAGGCAAAGUGAUAUCAGAUAACACUGGCAGUACAAGACAGGAAGAAAUUGCAGCAACCAUGUCAGAGGAUAAUGCUGAAAGGGAGGAAAGGGCCUCAACAUCACUCACUAAUGUUUUCUCAGCCAGUACCAGCCCUUCAGCAGAGCCUGCCACUGAAGGUGUCUCCAUCUAAAUGAACAUACCACUGAACAUAGCUUUCUCUGUAUUAGCUUUAGCACACAAAUCAUGUUUUUCUUAAACUACUAAAAAACAGGCAAGCUAUCAGGGAUAUUAAUCAUAUCACAGUUAUUCGUAUCUUUUGAAGAUUUGUUGUCAUCACUUGUCUGUGUUUUCAUAGAGUGGAAGAUUGAGCCUGAUCUUGAAACAGCUGCCCGGCUGUUUCGAAGACAUACUAUAUCUUAAAGAAUGCUGAGGACAAACCAGACCUAGUUGUUAAGCUAGAUCUACACAGCUGUGAAAAGGAUCGGGAACGGGAAAUGUUAACUUUUUAUAAACGUCCAAAUAUUGAUUGGACAAGUCCGUUAACUGUAAAACUUAAAGGUGAUGCUGCAUUAGGGGAUGGAGUAACACGGCACUUUUUCACAUUGAUAAUGGAAAAGCUCCACAAUGGAUUUGAACUUGACAUUGAUAACUGUGGCAAAACACUUUUAUUCAACGGAGAAGAUGAUCACAAGGUUCCUUCGACAUCUAGAGCACUUUUGGAUGGUGACCUGUUCAGAGUUGUUGGAAGAAUGAUUGGGCAUUCAUUUAUUAAUGGAGGUCCACUCUACUCAGGACUUAGUGCAGCAUUCUUCCCCCUUUUAAGUGGUACUGGAAAGCCAGAAUGAAUUGAAUCCGAACGAAAUGGACAAUAUCAACAAUCUGGCCAUCAGUUGGGACCUGCCAGCAGUCAGCAACAUCAACAAAAGAUGGUUGGCAGAAACCAUUCUCUACCAUGGGGUAUGUAUUAUCUUAUUUAAAUGUGAAAGCUGUUAACUGCCUUUGGAUAUGCUACUUGCACUGUCUCUACCACUACAAAAGAAAAAUAAUUUUCACGUAAGUAGUUAGGACAAAAGUUUAUCAUGGUAUUUAUCAUGGCUUGCAUGGCAUUUGUCCUACAGGUGAAACUCGAAAAAUUAGAAGAUCGUGCAAAAGUUGAUGAUUAUGGCUUACAGCUUAUAAAAACCCCAAAUUCAAAAUCUCAGAAAAUUAGAAUAUUACAUGAAAUCAAUUAAAAAAAAGGAUUAUAAAUACAGAA
Molecule: long non-coding RNA, 1726 nt
Organism: Xyrauchen texanus (razorback sucker)
Lineage: Eukaryota; Metazoa; Chordata; Actinopteri; Cypriniformes; Catostomidae
Exons: 4
Source: RefSeq, a predicted model, not a curated record